AGAGUUUGAUCCUGGCUCAGAUUGAACGCUGGCGGCAUGCCUUACACAUGCAAGUCGAACGGCAGCACGGGAGCUUGCUCCUGGUGGCGAGUGGCGAACGGGUGAGUAAUAUAUCGGAACGUACCCUAGAGUGGGGGAUAACGCAGCGAAAGUUGCGCUAAUACCGCAUACGAUCUACGGAUGAAAGUGGGGGAUCGCAAGACCUCAUGCUCAUGGAGCGGCCGAUAUCUGAUUAGCUAGUUGGUAGGGUAAAAGACUACCAAGGCUUCGAUCAGUAGCAGGUCUGAGAGGACGACCAGCCACACUGGAACUGAGACACGGUCCAGGCUCCUACGGGAGGCAGCAGUGGGGAAUUUUGGACAAUGGGCGCAAGCCUGAUCCAGCAAUGCCGCGUGAGUGAAGAAGGCCUUCGGGUUGUAAAGCUCUUUUGUCAGGGAAGAAACGGUGGACUCUAAUACAGAUCACUAAUGACGGUACCUGAAGAAUAAGCACCGGCUAACUACGUGCCAGCAGCCGCGGUAAUACGUAGGGUGCAAGCGUUAAUCGGAAUUACUGGGCGUAAAGCGUGCGCAGGCGGUUGUGCAAGACAGAUGUGAAAUCCCCGGGCUCAACCUGGGAAUUGCAUUUGUGACUGCACGGCUAGAGUGUGUCAGAGGGGGGUAGAAUUCCACGUGUAGCAGUGAAAUGCGUAGAGAUGUGGAGGAAUACCGAUGGCGAAGGCAGCCCCCUGGGAUAACACUGACGCCCAUGCACGAAAGCGUGGGGAGCAAACAGGAUUAGAUACCCUGGUAGUCAACGCCCUAAACGAUGUCUACUAGUUGUUGGGUCUUAAUUGACUUAGUAACGCAGCUAACGCGUGAAGUAGACCGCCUGGGGAGUACGGUCGCAAGAUUAAAACUCAAAGGAAUUGACGGGGACCCGCACAAGCGGUGGAUGAUGUGGAUUAAUUCGAUGCAACGCGAAAAACCUUACCUACCCUUGACAUGUACGGAAUCCCUGAGAGAUUAGGGAGUGCUCGAAAGAGAGCCGUAACACAGGUGCCGCAUGGCUGUCGUCAGCUCGUGUCGUGAGAUGUUGGGUUAAGUCCCGCAACGAGCGCAACCCUUGUCAUUAGUUGCUACGAAAGGGCACUCUAAUGAGACUGCCGGUGACAAACCGGAGGAAGGUGGGGAUGACGUCAAGUCCUCAUGGCCCUUAUGGGUAGGGCUUCACACGUCAUACAAUGGUACAUACAGAGGGCCGCCAACCCGCGAGGGGGAGCUAAUCCCAGAAAGUGUAUCGUAGUCCGGAUUGUAGUCUGCAACUCGACUACAUGAAGUUGGAAUCGCUAGUAAUCGCGGAUCAGCAUGUCGCGGUGAAUACGUUCCCGGGUCUUGUACACACCGCCCGUCACACCAUGGGAGCGGGUUUCACCAGAAGUAGGUAGCCUAACCGUAAGGAGGGCGCUUACCACGGUGGGAUUCGUGACUGGGGUGAAGUCGUAACAAGGUA
Molecule: ribosomal RNA, 1491 nt
Filed under: metagenome
Description: bacterial SSU rRNA
Rfam family: Bacterial small subunit ribosomal RNA
Source: RNAcentral